This 497-nucleotide ribosomal RNA is filed under the name uncultured bacterium. RNAcentral describes it as "partial 16S ribosomal RNA". It matches the Rfam family "Bacterial small subunit ribosomal RNA", at positions 28 to 507 of the family's 1533-position model. The record is from RNAcentral.
GAUGAACGCUGGCGGCGUGCCUAAUACAUGCAAGUCGAGCGAACGGACGAGAAGCUUGCUUCUCUGAUGUUAGCGGCGGACGGGUGAGUAACACGUGGAUAACCUACCUAUAAGACUGGGAUAACUUCGGGAAACCGGAGCUAAUACCGGAUAAUAUUUUGAACCGCAUGGUUCAAAAGUGAAAGACGGUCUUGCUGUCACUUAUAGAUGGAUCCGCGCUGCAUUAGCUAGUUGGUAAGGUAACGGCUUACCAAGGCAACGAUGCAUAGCCGACCUGAGAGGGUGAUCGGCCACACUGGAACGGAGACACGGUCAAGACUCCUACGGGAGGCAGCAGUAGGGAAUCUUCCGCAAUGGGCGAAAGCCUGACGGAGCAACGCCGCGUGAGUGAUGAAGGUCUUCGGAUCGUAAAACUCUGUUAUUAGGGAAGAACAUAUGUGUAAGUAACUGUGCACAUCUUGACGGUACCUAACCAGAAAGCCACGGCUAACUACGUG